RNAcentral lists this transfer RNA (87 nucleotides) under Methylomirabilis oxygeniifera (SeqCode). Its description in RNAcentral is "Candidatus Methylomirabilis oxygeniifera tRNA-Leu (CAA) (tRNA-Leu-CAA-1-1)". It matches the Rfam family "tRNA". From Rfam's summary of the family: Transfer RNA (tRNA) molecules are approximately 80 nucleotides in length. Their secondary structure includes four short double-helical elements and three loops (D, anti-codon, and T loops). Further hydrogen bonds mediate the characteristic L-shaped molecular structure. tRNAs have two regions of fundamental functional importance: the anti-codon, which is responsible for specific mRNA codon recognition, and the 3' end, to which the tRNAs corresponding amino acid is attached (by aminoacyl-tRNA synthetases). tRNAs cope with the degeneracy of the genetic code in two manners: having more than one tRNA (with a specific anti-codon) for a particular amino acid; and 'wobble' base-pairing, i.e. permitting non-standard base-pairing at the 3rd anti-codon position. Lineage: Bacteria; Methylomirabilota (SeqCode); Methylomirabilia (SeqCode); Methylomirabilales (SeqCode); Methylomirabilaceae (SeqCode). RNAcentral also lists the same sequence under 3 other names. The record is from RNAcentral.
GCCGGGGUGGUGAAACUGGCAGACGCACGGGACUCAAAAUCCCGCGGACUUCGGUCCAUGAGGGUUCGACCCCCUCCCCCGGCACCA